Molecule: ribosomal RNA, 510 nt
Filed under: uncultured bacterium
Lineage: Bacteria
Description: bacterial SSU rRNA
Rfam family: Bacterial small subunit ribosomal RNA
Source: RNAcentral
GGUUCAGGACGAACGCUGGCGGCGUGCCUAACACAUGCAAGUCGAGCGGGGACAUGCGACGGAAGCGAAGUUUCGGAUGGAGCGGAAGAUGCAUGUUCUAGCGGCGGACGGGUGAGUAACGCGUGAGCAACCUGUCCCUUACAGGGGGAUAACACAGCGAAAGUUGUACUAAUACCGCAUAAGACCACGGGAGGACAUCCUACAGGGGUCAAAGGAGUAAUCCGGUAAGGGGUGGGCUCGCGUCCGAUUAGAUAGUUGGUGAGGUAACGGCCCACCAAGUCGACGAUCGGUAGCCGACCUGAGAGGGUGAUCGGCCACAUUGGGACUGAGACACGGCCCAAACUCCUACGGGAGGCAGCAGGUGGGGAAUAUUGGGCAAUGGGGGGAACCCUGACCCAGCAACGCCGCGUGAGGGAAGAAGGUUUUCGGAUCGUAAACCUCUGUCCUUGGUGAAGAGAGAGAGACGGUAGCCAAGGAGGAAGCCCCGGCUAACUACGUGCCAGCCGCCGC